AUUGAACGCUGGCGGCAGGCCUAACACAUGCAAGUCGAACGAGUGGCGGACGGGUGAGUAAUGUCUGUGAAACUGCCUGCUGGAGGGGGAUAACUACUGGAAACGGUAGCUAAUACCGCAUACCAUCGGAUGUGCCCGGAUGGGAUUAGCUAGUGGGGGGGGUAAAGGCUCACCUAGGCGACGAUCCCUAGCUGGUCUGAGAGGAUGACCAAGUACACUGGAACGGAGACACGGUCCAGACGCCUACGGGAGGCAGCAGUGGGGAAUAUUGCACAAUGGGCGCAAGCCUGAUGCAGCCAUGCCGCGUGUAUGAAGAAGGCCUUUGGGUUGUAAAGUACUUUCAGCGGGGAGGCGUUACCCGAAGAAGAAGCACCGGCUAACUCCGUGGCAGCAGCCGCGGUAAUAC
Molecule: ribosomal RNA, 406 nt
Filed under: uncultured bacterium
Lineage: Bacteria
Description: partial 16S ribosomal RNA
Rfam family: Bacterial small subunit ribosomal RNA
Source: RNAcentral